UACGGGGGGGGCAAGCGUUGUUCGGAAUUACUGGGCGUAAAGGGCUCGUAGGUGGCCAACUAAGUCAGACGUGAAAUCCCUCGGCUUAACCGGGGAACUGCGUCUGAUACUGGAUGGCUUGAGGUUGGGAGGGGGAUGCGGAAUUCCAGGUGUAGCGGUGAAAUGCGUAGAUAUCUGGAGGAACACCGGUGGCGAAGGCGGCAUCCUGGACCAAUUCUGACGCUGAGGAGCGAAAGCCAGGGGAGCAAACGGG
RNAcentral lists this ribosomal RNA (253 nucleotides) under uncultured bacterium. Its description in RNAcentral is "partial 16S ribosomal RNA". It matches the Rfam family "Bacterial small subunit ribosomal RNA", at positions 524 to 776 of the family's 1533-position model. The record is from RNAcentral.